This 506-nucleotide ribosomal RNA is filed under the name uncultured bacterium. RNAcentral describes it as "partial 16S ribosomal RNA". It matches the Rfam family "Bacterial small subunit ribosomal RNA", at positions 29 to 523 of the family's 1533-position model. The record is from RNAcentral.
AGUGAACGCUGGCGGUAGGCCUAACACAUGCAAGUCGAACGGCAGCACAGGAGAGCUUGCUCUCUGGGUGGCGAGUGGCGGACGGGUGAGGAAUACAUCGGAAUCUACUUUUUCGUGGGGGAUAACGUAGGGAAACUUACGCUAAUACCGCAUACGACCUACGGGUGAAAGCAGGGGAUCUUCGGACCUUGCGCGAUUGAGUGAGCCGAUGUCGGAUUAGCUAGUUGGCGGGGUAAAGGCCCACCAAGGCGACGAUCCGUAGCUGGUCUGAAAGGAUGAUCAGCCACACUGGAACAGCGACACGGUCCAGACUCCUACGGGAGGCAGCAGUGGGGAAUAUUGGACAAUGGGCGCAAGCCUGAUCCAGCCAUACCGCGUGGGUGAAGAAGGCCUUCGGGUUGUAAAGCCCUUUUGUUGGGAAAGAAAUCCAGCUGGUUAAUACCCGGUUGGGAUGACGGUACCCAAAGAAUAAGCACCGGCUAACUUCGUGCCAGCAGCCGCGGUAA